RNAcentral lists this ribosomal RNA (439 nucleotides) under uncultured bacterium. RNAcentral describes it as "bacterial SSU rRNA". It matches the Rfam family "Bacterial small subunit ribosomal RNA", at positions 954 to 1392 of the family's 1533-position model. The record is from RNAcentral.
GCUAAACGCGAAGAACCUUACCAAGGCUUGACAUACACCGGAAAACGGCCAGAGAUGGUCGCCCCGCAAGGUCGGUGUACAGGUGGUGCAUGGUUGUCGUCAGCUCGUGUCGUGAGAUGUUGGGUUAAGUCCCGCAACGAGCGCAACCCUCGUUCUAUGUUGCCAGCACGUCAUGGUGGGAACUCAUGGGAUACUGCCGGGGUCAACUCGGAGGAAGGUGGGGAUGACGUCAAAUCAUCAUGCCCCUUAUGUCUUGGGCUUCACGCAUGCUACAAUGGCCGGUACAAAGGGCUGCAAUACCGUGAGGUGGAGCGAAUACCCAAAAAGCCGGUCCCAGUUCGGAUUGAGGUCUGCAACUCGACCCCGUGAAGUCGGAGUCGCUAGUAAUCGCAGAUCAGCAACGCUGCGGUGAAUACGUUCCCGGGUCUUGUACACACCG